Molecule: non-coding RNA, 4658 nt
Organism: Oncorhynchus mykiss (rainbow trout)
Lineage: Eukaryota; Metazoa; Chordata; Actinopteri; Salmoniformes; Salmonidae
Source: RefSeq, a predicted model, not a curated record
AGCUCUUCUUGCUGGGGGGUGAGUUUUGAUGUGGAAGGUGAGCUAUUCUUGCUGGGGGGUGAGUUUUGAUGUGGAAGGUGAGCUCUUCUUGCUGGGGGGUGAGUUUUGAUGUGGAAGGUGAGCUCUUCUUGCUGGGGGGGUGAGUUGUUGAUGUGGAAGGUGAGCUCUUCUUGCUGGGGGGUGAGUUGUUGAUGUGGAAGGUGAGCUCUUCUUGCUGGGGGGUGAGUUUUGAUGUGGAAGGUGAGCUUUUCUUGCUAGGGGGUGAGUUGUUGAUGUGGAAGGUGAGCUCUUCUUGCUGGGGGGGUGAGUUGUUGACCAUCGAUGUGGAAAGUGAGCUCUUCUUGCUGGGGGGUGAGUUGUUGAUGUGGAAGGUGAGCUCUUCUUGCUGGGGGGUGAGUUUUGAUGUGGAAGGUGAGCUCUUCUUGCUGGGGGGGUGAGUUGUUGAUGUGGAAGGUGAGCUCUUCUUGCUGGGGGGUGAGUUGUUGAUGUGGAAGAUGAGCUCUUCUUGCUGGGGGGCGAGUUUUGAUGUGGAAGGUGAGCUUUUCUUGCUGGGGGGUGAGUUGUUGAUGUGGAAGGUGAGCUCUUCUUGCUGGGGGGUGAGUUGUUGAUGUGGAAGGAGGGCUCUUCUUGCUGGGGGGUGAGUUGUUGAUGUGGAAGAUGAGCUCUUCUUGCUGGGGGGUGAGUUUUGAUGUGGAAGGUGAGCUCUUCUUGCUGGGGGGUGAGUUGUUGAUGUGGAAGGAGGGCUCUUCUUGCUGGGGGGUGAGUUGUUGAUGUGGAAGGUGAGCUCUUCUUGCUGGGGGGGUGAGUUGUUGAUCUGGAAGGUGAGCUCUUCUUGCUGGGGGGGUGAGUUUUGAUGUGGAAGGCAGUGUUUUCCAUUAGCAUCGGCAGUCAGCUAAUCAGCCGCGGAGUGGUGGCGCAUAGUAGGCUAUUUACUUAGGUAGCCACGUGGAGUGGUGGUGCAUAGUAGGCUAUUUACUUAGGCAACCACGUGGAGUGGUGGUGCAUAGUAGGCUAUUUACUUAGGUAGCCACGCGGAGUGGUGGCGCAUAGUAGGCUAUUUACUUAGGUAGCCACGUGGAGUGGUGGUGCAUAGUAGGCUAUUUACUUAGGUAGCCACGUGGAGUGGUGGUGCAUAGUAGGCUAUUUACUUAGCCAGCCACGCGGAGUGGUGGUGCAUAGUAGGCUAUUUACUUAGCCAGCCACGCGGAGUGGUGGUGCAUAGUAGGCUAUUUACUUAGGUAGCCACGCGGAGUGGUGGUGCAUAGUAGGCUAUUUACUUAGCCAGCCACGCGGAGUGGUGGUGCAUAGUAGGCUAUUUACUUAGCCAGCCACGCGGAGUGGUGGUGCAUAGUAGGCUAUUUACUUAGCCAGCCACGCGGAGUGGUGGUGCAUAGUAGGCUAUUUACUUAGCCAGCCACGCGGAGUGGCGGCGCAUAGUAGGCUAUUUACUUAGGUAGCCACGUGGAGUGGUGGUGCAUAGUAGGCUAUUUACUUAGGUAGCCACGUGGAGUGGUGGUGCAUAGUAGGCUAUUUACUUAGGUAGCCACGUGGAGUGGUGGUGCAUAGUAGGCUAUUUACUUAGGCAACCACGUGGAGUGGUGGUGCAUAGUAGGCUAUUUACUUAGGUAGCCACGUGGAGUGGUGGUGCAUAGUAGGCUAUUUACUUAGCCAGCCACGCGGAGUGGUGGUGCAUAGUAGGCUAUUUACUUAGGUAGCCACGUGGAGUGGUGGUGCAUAGUAGGCUAUUUACUUAGCCAGCCACGCGGAGUGGUGGUGCAUAGUAGGCUAUUUACUUAGGUAGCCACGUGGAGUGGUGGUGCAUAGUAGGCUAUUUACUUAGCCAGCCACGCGGAGUGGCGGCGCAUAGUAGGCUAUUUACUUAGGUAGCCACGUGGAGUGGUGGUGCAUAGUAGGCUAUUUACUUAGGUAGCUACACGGAGUGGUGGUGCAUAGUAGGCUAUUUACUUAGCCAGCCACUCGGAGUGGUGGUGCAUAGUAGGCUAUUUACUUAGCCAGCCACGUGGAGUGGUGGUGCAUAGUAGGCUAUUUACUUAGCCAGCCACGCGGAGUGGCGGCGCAUAGUAGGCUAUUUACUUAGGUAGCCACGCGGAGUGGUAGGCUAUUUACUUAGGUAGCCACGUGGAGUGGUGGUGCAUAGUAGGCUAUUUACUUAGGUAGCCACGCGGAGUGGUAGGCUAUUUACUUAGGUAGCCACGUGGAGUGGUGGUGCAUAGUAGGCUAUUUACUUAGGUAGCCGAUAGUGGGCGCUAGAUCUGCACGACUGUCUGAUUGAUUUGCAUUCCCAGUAAUACAUACACUGGUUUCCCCCGUGGACUGGCUCGCACAUAAAACGUCCUUCAUUCAGCCUGAAAAGUUGUCAUUUCCCUCCUUCACUAUCUUUAAUAGUCUUAAUAAACCCAAUUUUUUCCAUCACCAUUGGCUGAACGCGCUGUGCAACAUCGCUGGCUACUUUUUCUAUUUGGCAGGGUACUAUGUACUUGUGGAAAACACUGGGAAAGGUGGGCUGUUCUUGCUGGGGGGUGAGUUGUUGACCAUUAAUGUGGAAAGUGAGCUCUUCUUGCUGGGGGGUGCGUUGUUGACCAAUGAUGUGGAAGGUGGGCUCUUCUUGAUAUAUGGUGAGUUGUUGACCAAUGAUGUGUGUCUUGCUGAGACUGCCGGAGUUGUAGACGGAGGAGACAGGCUCAGUGAAUGCUACAUGGAUUCUGGUGAGUGGGAGAGGACAUAUUGCUGUGUAAAGAUGUGUUGAGUUGAGGUCUUGCUGGUGGCUUGGAGGCACUGGAGGUUGAAUAGAUUGUCAUCCAGCCAGAACUGCUUUAUUUACCCAACAUUCAUCUCUUCAUGGUACAGACGGCUCAAAGGCACUCAGCUCUGACAGAGCGGUGGAAUGGGCCUGGGUGUUAACUAGGUGAGCAGUGGACUGGGCCUGGGGGUUAACUAGGUGAGCAGUGGACUGGGCCUGGGGGUUAACUAGGUGAGCAGUGGACUGGGCCUGGGGGUUAACUAGGUGAGCAGUGGAAUGGGCCUGGGGGUUAACUAGGUGAGCAGUGGACUGGGCCUGGGGGUUAACUAGGUGAGCAGUGGACUGGGCCUGGGGGUUAACUAGGUGAGCAGUGGACUGGGCCUGGGGGUUAACUAGGUGAGCAGUGGACUGGGCCUCUCAUAGACAUCACACCACCCUGUGGUGAUAACCCCCUGCCCCUCAUAGACAUCACACCAGCCUGUGGUGAUAACCCCCUGCCCCUCAUAGACAUCACACCACCCUGUGGUGAUAACCCCCUGGCUCCUCAUAGACAUCACACCACCCUGUGGUGAUAACCCCCUGGCUCCUCAUAGACAUCACACCACUCUGUGGUGAUAACCCCCUGGCUCCUCAUAGACAUCACACCACCCUGUGGUGAUAACCCCCUGGCUCCUCAUAGACAUCACACCACCCUGUGGUGAUAACCCCCUGGCUCCUCAUAGACAUCACACCACCCUGUGGUGAUAACCCCCUGGCUCCUCAUAGACAUCACACCACCCUGUGGUGAUAACCCCCUGGCUCCUCAUAGACAUCACACCACCCUGUGGUGAUAACCCCCUGGCUCCUCAUAGACAUCACACCACCCUGUGGUGAUAACCCCCUGGCUCCUCAUAGACAUCACACCACCCUGUGGUGAUAACCCCCUGGCUCCUCAUAGACAUCACACCACCCUGUGGUGAUAACCACCUGGCUCCUCAUAGACAUCACACCACCCUGUGGUGAUAACCCCCUGGCUCCUCAAAGACAUCACACCACCCUGUGGUGAUAACCCCCUGGGCCUCAUAGACAUCACACCACCCUGUGGUGAUAACCCCCUGCUCCUCAUAGACAUCACACCACCCUGUGGUGAUAACCCCCUGCUCCUCAUAGACAUCACACCACCCUGUGGUGAUAACCACCUGGCUCCUCAUAGACAUCACACCACCCUGUGGUGAUAACCCCCUGGCUCCUCAUAGACAUCACACCACCCUGUGGUGAUAACCCCCUGGCUCCUCAUAGACAUCACACCACCCUGUGGUGAUAACCCCCUGGCUUCUCAUAGACAUCACACCACCCUGUGGUGAUAACCCCCUGGCUUCUCAUAGACAUCACACCACCCUGUGGUGAUAACCCCCUGGCUCCUCAUAGACAUCACACCACCCUGUGGUGAUAACCCCCUGGCUUCUCAUAGACAUCACACCACCCUGUGGUGAUAACCCCCUGCUCCUCAUAGACAUCACACCACCCUGUGGUGAUAACCCCCUGCUCCUCAUAGACAUCACACCACCCUGUGGUGAUAACCCCCUGGCUCCUCAUAGACAUCACACCACCCUGUGGUGAUAACCCCCUGGCUCCUCAUAGACAUCACACCACCCUGUAGUGAUAACCCCCUGGCUCCUCAUAGACAUCACACCACCCUGUGGUGAUAACCCCCUGGCUCCUCAUAGACAUCACACCACCCUGUGGUGAUAACCCCCUGGCUCCUCAUAGACAUCACACCACCCUGUAGUGAUAACCCCCUGGCUCCUCAUAGACAUCACACCACCCUGUGGUGAUAACCCCCUGGCUUCUCAUAGACAUCACUCAACAGCUGAACAGGGUGCUUUAUUGGUUAAUCAGUCCCUGACUCUUUCUCUCU